Molecule: long non-coding RNA, 1062 nt
Organism: Corapipo altera (White-ruffed manakin)
Lineage: Eukaryota; Metazoa; Chordata; Aves; Passeriformes; Pipridae
Exons: 2
Source: RefSeq, a predicted model, not a curated record
CAGCUGCGGCGCGUGGCACAGCGGGCUGUCCAGCACCGGCCCCACAGCCGCCUCCGCCUCUAGCGCCAGCUCGCCCCCCGACAGCUGGAACAGCCGGUUAACGGCCGCCAGGUGUGUGAACUGCCCCCCUCGUCGUGAGAGAGCGCGCCCGAGACCUGGGUGAGGCUGUACGGAGAGCCAGGGUCCGGCCCGGAAUGGGGGCUGACCGGGCCUCGCGUCCUGCAGCGGACGCUUUGUUUGCCCACGUAGUUCGUGUCCCUGCAGGCUACAUGAAAGAGCCCUGAGCGAUUGCCCAGCCCAGAGCUGGCCUCCUACCACGGGAUCGCGACACAGGGCAGAGCCGCGGGCUCAGGGGUCACCCAGGAGGGACCGGGCUCCCUGGGCACCCCACCGAGUUCCCCAUGCAGGAGGGGACACGGGUGGGCCCCAGUGCAUGGCACGCUCAGCACUGUGUGGACGCUUCAAGCCGAAGCAAUGGUAGAGCCGACAGCCAAGAGGAGUGGCUGUGGGAUGUGGGCACAGCAUCGUUGUCUCCAGACUGUUUCCACUAAGAGCAGAGCACCCAGGCACUGGAGGAAAGUCAGGGGGAAGCUCGUAGGCUCGGUCUCCCGUGCAGCUGCAGCAGUUACACCAGCGUAACGGUGAGGGUUGAGCGCGGAGGCACCUUACCACAAACAAAUAGCCAGCAGCAGUUAAAACAAGGGGGGGAAAUGGAGGCUGCUGUUUGGUCACGGCUGCCUGGAAAUGCUGUGCAGGCGAGCCCCGAGACCUGUCCUCCCUCUCCCCAAGCUGUGCCUUGCUGCCCUGCCUCUUCUCGUGGCACGGAUCUUUCGUUAUACAAAACAUGUUAGUGAGGCUGGUGGGGAUUCUGCACGACUUCUGUUCUGGAGAGAAAAAUCCUCUGUUGUUGUCUAAUCUCAUUUCUACACCUGCCAAUUUCCCUCUCCCUCUCCUGUUCUCCUCACCCUCUUCAGAGCACUAAUUAAUACACAGCUGCCUUGGCCAUGCCAUGUCCACUGAAAAUCUGCAUUGAAUUAAAUGCUAUGCUUUCGUGCUAUCUAA